RNAcentral lists this ribosomal RNA (455 nucleotides) under Ehrlichia minasensis. RNAcentral's name for it is "bacterial SSU rRNA". It matches the Rfam family "Bacterial small subunit ribosomal RNA", at positions 17 to 495 of the family's 1533-position model. The record is from RNAcentral. Lineage: Bacteria; Pseudomonadati; Pseudomonadota; Alphaproteobacteria; Rickettsiales; Anaplasmataceae.
UCAUGGCUCAGAACGAACGCUGGCGGCAAGCCUAACACAUGCAAGUCGAACGGACAAUUAUUUAUAGCUUUUGGCUAUAGGCAAUUGUUAGUGGCAGACGGGUGAGUAAUGCGUAGGAAUCUACCUAGUAGUACGGAAUAGCCAUUAGAAAUGAUGGGUAAUACUGUAUAAUCCCCGCGGGGGAAAGAUUUAUCGCUAUUAGAUGAGCCUACGUUAGAUUAGCUAGUUGGUAAGGUAAUGGCUUACCAAGGCUAUGAUCUAUAGCUGGUCUGAGAGGACGAUCAGCCACACUGGAACUGAGAUACGGUCCAGACUCCUACGGGAGGCAGCAGUGGGGAAUAUUGGACAAUGGGCGAAAGCCUGAUCCAGCUAUGCCGCGUGAGUGAAGAAGGCCUUCGGGUUGUAAAACUCUUUCAAUAGGGAAGAUAAUGACGGUACCUAUAGAAGAAGUCCCG